Molecule: ribosomal RNA, 353 nt
Filed under: uncultured bacterium
Lineage: Bacteria
Description: partial 16S ribosomal RNA
Rfam family: Bacterial small subunit ribosomal RNA
Source: RNAcentral
CCUACGGGAGGCAGCAGUGAGGAAUAUUGGUCAAUGGACGAGAGCCUGAACCAGCCAAGUAGCGUGAAGGAUGACUGCCCUAUGGGUUGUAAACUUCUUUUAUAUGGGAGUAAAACAGGGUAUGCAUACCCUCUUGUAUGUACCAUAUGAAUAAGGAUCGGCUAACUCCGUGCCAGCAGCCGCGGUAAUACGGAGGAUCCGAGCGUUAUCCGGAUUUAUUGGGUUUAAAGGGAGCGUAGGUGGGUUGUUAAGUCAGUUGUGAAAGUUUGCGGCUCAACCGUAAGAUUGAAGUUGAAACUGGCAGUCUUGAGUACAGUAGAGGGGAGCGGAAUUCGGGGUGUAGCGGGGAAAAG